This 1386-nucleotide ribosomal RNA is filed under the name Triticum aestivum (bread wheat). RNAcentral's name for it is "partial small subunit ribosomal RNA". Lineage: Eukaryota; Viridiplantae; Streptophyta; Magnoliopsida; Poales; Poaceae. The record is from RNAcentral.
AUGAAUUGUACAAACUAUGUGCAAAUACCAGAUUUCUGGUCGAGGGAAUGUGUGCAUCUAGAUUAUAUGGUUAUCGAUAAAUGUCAAGUGGCAAUGCCUGUCCGGAUGGUGGAUAGUUUUGGCAAGUCCUCCCACACUUGGGGUGAAAAAGGAACUGGUAAAGAGGGGCAAACUUUGGGCAAAGCAAAAGGGAAAGCGGGUUGUAGAAAUACGCUUUCCCAAGCCUUUCUGGAUAUAAAUAGUACACCUCUCCUCUGUUUUGAGAGAGUAUGUGAUCCCCUCGAGGAUUUAGGGUUUCCUCUUACCCCGCCGCCACUGGGUGAUAGUGAAGAGAGCGAGAAGAUGAACAGGGGACCUGGAGGUUAUCGGGGAGGAGGAAGAUUCAAUAGGGGAGGGAGAGAUAGUUUCCAAUAUAGGAGAAAAGAAGAAGAAAUUGACAGGUUUACAGAGAUCUAUCCCAACAAUGAGAGAGGAGGUGGAAGAUUUGGGUACAGAGAGGAGAUUGGGAAAUUUGAUCAGCAAGCGGAUGAAGAAAAAAGGGGGAUGGUAGAUCUGAAGCCCCCUUCGAGCUCCAAGGAGGUAUUUGUGAAGAGGAUAGAAGAUGAUCAGAAAGCUAGAGACCUCAAAGGAAAAGAGGAUGUGGUGAUGCCUGUUUCCUCCUUCGAUCUGAUCCAACAGCAACAGUGGUUUGGGGCUCUGAUGGCCCAGAUGGCCCAGCAAAAGAAGGAGAGCUCGUCUGGGGGUGGAACUGUUACCCCUCCUGAGAGCAGUAGAGGUGUUCCAGCUGAUGAGACUAAGAAAGAGUUUAAUGGAGGAAAAUAUCACAUGAACAAAAGUGAAGCUAACAUGGAUGUGGGGAACAAGCAAGUUCAGAGGGGAUGGUUUCAGAACAACAAGUUUGGUCAGAGAGAGAGCUUGGAUCAAAACAAAGCUUGUGGAAACUUCGGAGUGAUAUGCAACAAGUGUAAGGACACCAGACACAUGUCCAGGGACUGCAAGUUACCCAACUGUAUUAUUUGUGGCAAGAAUUCUCACAUCACUGAGGAUUGUGCUUGGCUGAAGCAAAUCAAGCCAACCCCCAAGUUCAUUGGAUAUGCAGCUAGAGGAUUGGGAGUGCUGCUGGUGCAAAAUUCUAAAGAGGUGGUCAGUACUGAGCAGAUUAAUCCUAUGGCCAUUGUGAACAUAGCUUCUGGAGAGAUCAAUGAGACACAAUUUCUGGAAGGGUUUAACUACAUGUUCAGUUGGAAUUGGCAAUGGAGAUGCAAAAAACAUGGAGACAAAGCUUAUCUGAUGAGAUUCCCCAGCAAAAGUAGACUGGCAAAACUUCACAAGUUUGGAAAUUUCAAUCUACUGGGGACCAAUGUUGUCAUCAAUGUGGGCAUCUAG